RNAcentral lists this microRNA (24 nucleotides) under Brachypodium distachyon (stiff brome). Its description in RNAcentral is "bdi-miR7784b-5p". Lineage: Eukaryota; Viridiplantae; Streptophyta; Magnoliopsida; Poales; Poaceae. The record is from miRBase by way of RNAcentral.
GUACAUGAACUUAUAAGACGAGUA